Molecule: transfer RNA, 72 nt
Filed under: Camelus bactrianus (Bactrian camel)
Lineage: Eukaryota; Metazoa; Chordata; Mammalia; Artiodactyla; Camelidae
Also listed under: 2 other names
Rfam family: tRNA
About the family: Transfer RNA (tRNA) molecules are approximately 80 nucleotides in length. Their secondary structure includes four short double-helical elements and three loops (D, anti-codon, and T loops).
Source: Rfam by way of RNAcentral
GAGGGUAUAGCUCAGUGGUAGAGCACAUGCUUAGCAUGCAUGAGGUCCUGGGUUCAAUCUCCAGGACCACCU